AGAUUGAACGCUGGCGGCAGGCCUAACACAUGCAAGUCGAGCGGUAGAGAGGUGCUUGCAUCUCUUGAGAGCGGCGGACGGGUGAGUAAUGCCUAGGAAUCUGCCUAGUGGUGGGGGAUAACGUUCGGAAACGGACGCUAAUACCGCAUACGUCCUACGGGAGAAAGCGGGGGACCUUCAGGCCUCGCGCCAUUAGAUGAGCCUAGGUCGGAUUAGCUAGUUGGUGAGGUAAUGGCUCACCGAAGGCGACGAUCCGUAACUGGUCUGAGAGGAUGAUCAGUCA
This 283-nucleotide ribosomal RNA is filed under the name uncultured soil bacterium. RNAcentral describes it as "partial 16S ribosomal RNA". It matches the Rfam family "Bacterial small subunit ribosomal RNA", at positions 26 to 310 of the family's 1533-position model. The record is from RNAcentral.